AGCGGCGGACGGGUGAGUAACGCGUAGGCAACCUGCCCUUCACACAGGGAUAGCCUCGGGAAACCGGGAUUAAUACCUGAUAACACAUUGAGAUUGCAUAUUCUUAAUGCCAAAGAUUUAUCGGUGAGGGAUGGGCCUGCGUCUGAUUAGCUAGUUGGUGAGGUAACGGCCCACCAAGGCAACGAUCAGUAGCCGACCUGAGAGGGUGAUCGGCCACAUUGGAACUGAGACACGGUCCAGACUCCUGCGGGAGGCAGCAGUGGGGAAUAUUGCACAAUGGGGGAAACCCUGAUGCAGCGACGCCGCGUGAGUGAAGAAGUAUUUCGGUAUGUAAAGCUCUAUCAGCAGGAAAGAAAAUGACGGUACCUGACUAAGAAGCCCCGGCUAACUACGUGCCAGCAGCCGCGGUAAUACGUAGGGGGCAAGCGUUAUCCGGAUUUACUGGGUGUAAAGGGAGCGUAGACGGUGAGCUAAGUCUGAAGUGAAAUAUGGGGGCUCAACUCUCCGAACUGCUUUGGAAACUGGUGCACUUGAGUGCAGAGGGGUAAGCGGAAUUCCUAGUGUAGCGGUGAAAUGCGUAGAUAUUAGGAGGAACACCGGAGGCGAAGGCGCUUACUGGACUGUAACUGACGUGAGGCUCGAAGCGUGGGGAGUAAACAGGAUAGAUACCCUGGUAGUUCCACGCGGUAAACGAUGAUCACUAGUGUGGCAUCCAUAGGUGUCGGUGCCGCAGCUAACGCAAUAAGUGAUCCACCUUGGGGAGUACGUUCGCAAGAAUGAAACUCCAAAGGAAUUGACGGGGACCCGCACAAGCCGGUGGAGCAUGUGGUUUAAUUCGAAGCAACGCUGAAGAACCUUACCCGGCCUUGAGAUCCGGCUGAAUACAGGGUAAUGCCUGUAGCCUUCGGGCAGCCGAGACAGGUGGUGCAUGGUUGUCGUCGAGCUCGUGUCGUGAGAUGUUGGGUUAAGUCCCGCAACGAGCGCAACCCUUGUCAUUAGUAGCCAGCAUUUCGGAUGGGCACUCUAAUGAGACUGCCGGGGAUAACCCGGAGGAAGGUGGGGAUGACGUCAAAUCAUCAUGCCCCUUAUGGCCAGGGCUACACACGUGCUACAAUGGCGUAAACAAAGAGAAGCGAACCUGCGAGGGCAAGCAAACCUCAAAAAUAACGUCCCAGUUCGGAUUGCAGUCUGCAACUCGACUGCAUGAAGCUGGAAUCGCUAGUAAUCGCGGAUCAGCAUGCCGCGGUGAAUACGUUCCCGGGUCUUGUACACACCGCCCGUCACACCAUGGGAGUCGAUAAUGCCCGAAGUCAGUGACCUAACCGCAAGGGAGGAGCUGCCGAAGGCAGGAUUGA
RNAcentral lists this ribosomal RNA (1355 nucleotides) under uncultured bacterium. Its description in RNAcentral is "16S ribosomal RNA". It matches the Rfam family "Bacterial small subunit ribosomal RNA", at positions 94 to 1471 of the family's 1533-position model. The record is from RNAcentral.